Long non-coding RNA from Esox lucius (northern pike), 763 nucleotides. RefSeq lists it as uncharacterized. The record is from RefSeq and is a predicted model, not a curated record. The transcript is spliced from 2 exons. Lineage: Eukaryota; Metazoa; Chordata; Actinopteri; Esociformes; Esocidae.
UCGACAGCGAAGGAACAGAAGAAAAAUAGAUUCUCGUAAAUGGUGGGAGAUCGAGACGAUGGCGAAACAGGCCUAAAGGCCAGUCGGUGAAAGCAGGUGGUGUGCCAACCGGGGAGUCUGGACGGUUGGCAUUUUAUUCUCCAUUCCUUGAUCGCCCUGAAAAAAUGGAAAAUAUAAUAUCUCAACCUCUACCUCAAAGCCAAAUGUAUCCGAGGAAUAAUUAAUGGGAUUGAGGACUGUUGGCUUCUCGUACCCAGAGCAAGGACACAAGACACAAGUUUCUGCCUGCUUCACGGUCCAUUAUUACUUUUGGUACGCGCUAGGCCAGUCUCAAACUCGUACCGUGAGUAAUAAUGCACUGUGGCUGUCAAAGCCAACGGUCAGCCAACAGUGACGGACAACACCUCCCCAAUCCUGUAUCAUGUAAAGAAACCCAAGAAAGCAGGAACGCAAACUUUUUGCCAUUUUACUAUAGCCUAAACAUAAGGUGUAUUGUUUAAUUGCUUACUAUAAAUACAUUGUUACAUGUUGUAGCCUGUAGGCUGUAGGUCUACAGUGUUGGUGAUAAAUCCCAAAAGGUCGUGGGGUGAGGGCCACACUGACUGCUUUAUUCAAAGAAUUAUCCUAGUCUGUAUAUUUGAAAGUUAUAACUAUGUUGCUUGCAAAAAUACAUUACCUGUACCUAUGUCUGACGGUUGACCUAUGGGCUAUUUAUGUCGGAUCUUGUUUUGAUAGCCUACAAUAAAAGCGAAAUUAGGCUGUA